CGUGUGAAGUCAUAAAAGGCUGGGAACUACCCAGCUCAGUGCUCAGGAAGUAGAGGCAUGUCUUCUGCCUGAGGACACACCAGGAGGCCAUUUAUCCCAUGGAACUUGGGACCCUCCAGGGAACCACAAACUUCUUGAGGGAAGACUGUUUUGCACAUCUUUGAAUCACUGAAACCAAGGAUGGGGCCCCAAAUGAGAUCAAUCUUAAAGAAAUGGCUACUGAAUAAAACUUCCCAAGUCCUAAGGACGCAUCUCCAGACAAUGAGUACAUCUCUAGAAGCAUGUCGCUGGUUUCAUUCUACAUCAGGACCCAAGAUGGCGUUUGGUUCCAAAAGGACUCCUCUGUGUGUGAGGAACUGUUCUGCAAUCUCCUGGUGUGUUGAUCACGCAAGAAAAGUUGGCAGAACCAAGUUUAUUAACCCUAAAUUUACCUAGCUCAUCUCACCCCCACUUCAAGAAAGAGGACACCAAGAUAAGAGGAACUAAAGUCAUUUUCAAGAUUUGUGGGAACAUCUGCUUGCCAGCUUUUUACAACACAAGCUCCAGGCCCUCUCCCCACAGUGGUGCUUGGCAUUCUCCAGUCAUCGUCCCAACUCUGGUCACCUGGAUUCUAGGAAAAGCAGCCUCAGAUGACUGAGAGUGCUCCAAACAAAUACAGUCAUCUGCAGGAACAGAAUCAGAAAUCGGAACUGAGAAAAAUGACUGUUUGGAUCCCGGCCCUCCAUGGUAGCCCAUAAAACAGGUCUCCAUUCUUUUGUGGAUGGACCAGGCUGAUCUUCUUCGUCACAGUGCCUCCCCUCCUCUAGCUACUACUCAAGCUGGGGCCCCUUCCCUUAUAAUCUCUUACUUUGCAAUUAAAGCUUUUGCCGGUCAAUUCACAGUCACUUUAGUUUUGAUUUCCAUUAUCACUAAAGUGAGCACCCACAGUGCCUGGGGACAUUAGGUUUGAUCAAGUUCUGGGGUGCAUGGAAUCACCCACGAGCCCGCGCUUCAGUAACUGUCCUGGAGAGUCUUUGCAGGUAUCACUUGAGCAUGCUGUGUCAACACCUGACUAAACUGGAUCGCCCCUUCUUGGCCUGAGGCCUGGCUUAGCAAUCACCACUUAGAGGGGGACUCUGUCAGUUUCUGGCACAGAUCAUCCCUGCCUGCUGGGCCUCUUUGAAGGGAGGAUGUAAUUCAUUUUGUCAACAUGAUGAGUACCAAGAGGAUGGGCACAGAGUACAACAAGGUGCCACUUCCAGCCCUGCCCAGGGCCACCACCCUCUUAACUGCCCCAGGUGCCUUCCCACUCUGUGCUCUGACUCCUCCCCCACCCUACUUCUCUGCCUCCAGCUUUUCAUUGAACUUCCCCGGCUUUCUGUUGACAUUAUAGAGGCCCCGUGUGUGCUCAGAUUCCAAAUUGCCCCAGUAGCUGGAUGGGCUGUCAGCUGUGGUUUAUGGUGACCCAUAGGAGGUGACAAACCCAGGCACCUCAGGUCUGCUAGAGCUGGGCCCCAUCGAAAAGACGACCCACAGAAAAGCCAGCAGUGGACAGCAGGGUCCACAGGAAGCUGCACCUCUGUCCCUGGGCUGGCCAGAGAGUAGCUGCGUGGCUGUGGAAACUGAAAGGCUGUGAAGAGGGACCAAGGUUGACCCCAGCUAGAAAGGCAGAGGCAGGAGAAAGAGGAAGCAUGGAGCAAUGUCUGAAAUGCAGAAACCAGGGAAACAGGGCCUCUGUUCAUCUGCAGGUGCCUCAUAUUCACUGCCAUCAACUCAGCAUUUCUUGUGAACAUGAAGCUGCCCACAAGGUAGACAGCAAGAGGCUCCAGCUGCUAGGAGAAGAAGUUUAAGACCCUGGUGGGACCCAGCCAGGACCCUGGUAGGACACAGUCAGAAACAGCUGAAUAGACUGCAAACCACCUUCCAUGCAUCCUUGGAAGUAUGGACAACAGAAACACC
Molecule: long non-coding RNA, 1938 nt
Filed under: Fukomys damarensis (Damara mole-rat)
Lineage: Eukaryota; Metazoa; Chordata; Mammalia; Rodentia; Bathyergidae
Description: lncRNA (ENSFDAG00000022040.1)
Source: RNAcentral